This is a long non-coding RNA of Cyprinus carpio carpio, 1163 nucleotides long. The record is from Ensembl. Lineage: Eukaryota; Metazoa; Chordata; Actinopteri; Cypriniformes; Cyprinidae.
AUUUACUAUAUUUUUGUUAAUGUUUAUUUUAUUUCAAGUAACGGAAAUAUUUUUUUAUGGCUUUAGUUUCAGUUAACUAUAAUUAAGAUGUGCUAAAGAUACUUUUCAUGUAAAGCAUCACCUUCCUUCAUCUUUAAAAGCCCCUCCACCUCCUGUUCUCUCUCCACAGGUGAGACCCAGGCCAGAGUAUACCAAAAAAAGUACAUCAGCUAUUUCCGUCUGUGGUUUACCACACUAUUGACGUACUUAUCAUACUUACUCAGUUAUCAUGUAGGAGUUAAGAAAGCAGACAUAGGCAUGUACAAACACACACCAGCACAUGUACACAAACACACACACAUACAGAAAAGGUUCGAUGUUCAAAACUGAUCUGCAAGCAAAAAACUUUGCUGAUGUGUGCUUGUAUCAUAACUCCUCAAGAGUUUUCAAGAAAACGUUACAGGUGUACAGCACACACACACACACACAAAAAAUCAACUCUUAGUCAAUCGGAUGUGAUGGAUCACAUGGUCGGAAGAGUCGUUGUCCAGGAAAUGAUGCUUCGUCGGAAUGGAAACUUUAGUGCGGGCCACCACAACAGAGACACCCUGUGAGUGUGUGUAAACAUCAUGAUGCCUUCUCAAAAACCUCACACUGAGUGCGGUCACACACUCACCUCUAAGUUUUCCAUCCACAAGAUGUCAGACCAGUAUUUUAUCACCGGAUGUUUUUCAAGGUCAGGAGUAAAAAAUAGAUACUCUGUCUGUGGUCUGUAUGUCUUUCCAUCUGGCUGUGCACCUGCAGACCUGCGGAGCUGGUCCAGGAGAGUCGUGUGGCCUAUCAGUUGACGGGCGAUAGCAGUGGACAGCGUGUUUGAUGUCAGAUGGUGACCCAAAUAAGCUACAAAAAGCUUUGUGUGUGGCUCUCGAAACACCCAUGUCUGAUGGGGAUGUGAACUAUACUCUCAAAGGUGCGUCUGUGCGUAAGCGAGCGAGCGUCUGUGUGUGAGGGUCAAAGUAGGCUAUAAUUGUGUGUUCGCAGCUGUAUGUGAGUGUGUGAGAAACGACCACAGCUGAGGAACCUCUUAAUGGAGCAAUCACGCCUGGUCGCGAGAGAGCGUGUGUGUGUGUGUGUAUUGAGGGCACACUGCUGUCUCUGUGUUGCCCAGUAAGCUUCACUGUUCU